GAUGAACGCUGGCUACAGGCUUAACACAUGCAAGUCGAGGGGAAACGACGGGGAAGCUUGCUUCCCCGGGCGUCGACCGGCGCACGGGUGAGUAACGCGUAUCCAACCUGCCUCUGACUGAGGGAUAACCCGUCGAAAGUCGGCCUAAUACCUCAUGGCAUCGUCUGCGGGCAUCCAACGACGAUUAAAGAUUUCAUCGGUCAGAGAUGGGGAUGCGUCUGAUUAGCUUGUUGGCUGGGUAACGGCCAACCAAGGCGACGAUCAGUAGGGGUUCUGAGAGGAAGGUCCCCCAGAUUGGAACUGAGACACGGUCCAAACUGCUACGGGAGGCAGCAGUGAGGAAUAUUGGUCAAUGGGCGAGAGCCUGAACCAGCCAAGUAGCGUGCAGGAUGACGGCGCUAUGGGUUGUAAACUGCUUUUAUGCGGGGAUAAAGUGAGGGACGUGUCCUUCAUUGCAGGUACCGCAUGAAUAAGGACCGGCUAAUUCCGUG
Molecule: ribosomal RNA, 491 nt
Filed under: uncultured bacterium
Lineage: Bacteria
Description: partial 16S ribosomal RNA
Rfam family: Bacterial small subunit ribosomal RNA
Source: RNAcentral